Callithrix jacchus (white-tufted-ear marmoset) is the source of this 518-nucleotide long non-coding RNA. RefSeq lists it as uncharacterized. The record is from RefSeq and is a predicted model, not a curated record. Lineage: Eukaryota; Metazoa; Chordata; Mammalia; Primates; Cebidae.
CUAUUCAACUCCUCUUUUUCUGGAGUUUCACUUACUUCCAACACAAGGAAGGCAACUUUUUUUGCUUCCAUGAGAAUGGAAUGAAGGUAGAUGAGGGUUUUUUGUUUCUGUUUUUGUUUUCCUGCUUCUAGGAUGGUAGAAAGCAGUCCUCAGCCUGAGACUCAUCCCUUGUCCACCAGGGUCUUCGGGACAAACCCAGCAGGUGGUACCGCAUAUGAAGAAGGCUGCAAUGUAUUGCAAUGGAACUCUCGAAAAUGAAAGUGAAGUGACUGUGUAGAAAGUAAUUCCUCAAGGAAUGCUGAACACUCCUACUGUAAGGCCAGUUGCCUCGACGGAAGGCUGGACACACCCACCUCUGCAUUCAGCACCAGGCUCUGCACUCGGCACCUAGCUCUGCCCCAUGGCUCCCCUGGAAGGCUCUGCUGAUGCAACCCUGGCCGGCUCUGGCACCAGAAAACCCGCCCAACAACCCACCAACCAAUAGCGGCCCGCCCCGUCCCAAUCCCACUCCCCUGUAG